CCUACGGGGUGCUGCAGUGGGGAAUAUUGGACAAUGGGCGAAAGCCUGAUCCAGCCAUGCCGCGUGUGUGAAGAAGGCCUUCGGGUUGUAAAGCACUUUCAGUGGGGAAGAAAGCCUUGGGGCUAAUACCCUCGAGGAAGGACAUCACCCACAGAAGAAGCACCGGCUAACUCCGUGCCAGCAGCCGCGGUAAUACGGAGGGUGCGAGCGUUAAUCGGAAUUACUGGGCGUAAAGCGCGCGUAGGCGGUCUGAUAAGCCGGUUGUGAAAGCCCCGGGCUCAACCUGGGAACGGCAUCCGGAACUGUCAGGCUAGAGUGCAGGAGAGGAAGGUAGAAUUCCCGGUGUAGCGGUGAAAUGCGUAGAGAUCGGGAGGAAUACCAGUGGCGAAGGCGGCGUUCUGGACUGACACUGACGCUGAGGUGCGAAAGCGUGGGUAGCAAACAGGAUUAGAUACCCGUGUAGUC
RNAcentral lists this ribosomal RNA (465 nucleotides) under Vreelandella stevensii. Its description in RNAcentral is "partial 16S ribosomal RNA". It matches the Rfam family "Bacterial small subunit ribosomal RNA", at positions 338 to 795 of the family's 1533-position model. The record is from RNAcentral. Lineage: Bacteria; Pseudomonadati; Pseudomonadota; Gammaproteobacteria; Oceanospirillales; Halomonadaceae.